This 459-nucleotide ribosomal RNA is filed under the name uncultured bacterium. RNAcentral's name for it is "partial 16S ribosomal RNA". It matches the Rfam family "Bacterial small subunit ribosomal RNA", at positions 338 to 795 of the family's 1533-position model. The record is from RNAcentral.
CCUACGGGUGGCAGCAGUGAGGAAUAUUGGUCAAUGGCCGAGAGGCUGAACCAGCCAAGUCGCGUGAGGGAAGACGGCCCUACGGGUUGUAAACCUCUUUUGUCGGGGAGCAAAGCGAGUCACGUGUGACUCAUUGAGAGUACCCGAAGAAAAAGCAUCGGCUAACCCCGUGCCGGCAGCCGCGGUAAUACGGGGGAUGCGGUCGUUAUCCGGAUUGAUUGGGUUUAACGGGUGAGCGGGCGGAGGGGAAAGUCAGCGGUCAAAUUGCGGGGCGCAACCCCGUACUGCCGUUGAAACUGCAUCCCUUGAGUGCGCGAGAAGUAGGCGGAAUGCGAGGUGUAGCGGUGAAAUGCAUAGAUAUCACGCAGAACUCCGAUUGCGAAGGCAGCAUACCGGCGCGCAACUGACGCUCAUGCACGAAAGCGUGGGUAUCGAACAGGAUUAGAUACCCCUGUAGUC